RNAcentral lists this long non-coding RNA (347 nucleotides) under Lathyrus oleraceus (garden pea). RNAcentral describes it as "Pisum sativum (pea) long non-coding RNA (PSAT_LNC040776)". Lineage: Eukaryota; Viridiplantae; Streptophyta; Magnoliopsida; Fabales; Fabaceae. The record is from RNAcentral.
GAUUACCCUUGCGGGUUCUCCACCGAGACGCUCAUUUUUGCCUAAGCCGCCCUUUCGGGUUUUCAACUUAGCGAGCUAUUCUGUUUUUUUUCAUUUCAUUUUUUUUCAUUUGCAUAUACUUUUUUUUAUUAGGCAAAGUAUCUCUUAACUGCAUCUGAAUUCACAGGACGAGUGAAAUCCUCCCCAUCCAUUGUUGUAAGCAUCAAAGCUCCGCCUGAAAAGGCUCUCUUAACAACAUAUGGACCCUCGUAGUUUGGAGUCCACUUGCCCCUGGAAUCGGGCGCGAAAGACAAAACUUUCUUGAGCACAAGGUCACCUUCUCGGAACACACGAGGCUUGACCUUCUU